This 483-nucleotide ribosomal RNA is filed under the name uncultured Rubritalea sp. RNAcentral's name for it is "bacterial SSU rRNA". It matches the Rfam family "Bacterial small subunit ribosomal RNA", at positions 29 to 505 of the family's 1533-position model. The record is from RNAcentral. Lineage: Bacteria; Pseudomonadati; Verrucomicrobiota; Verrucomicrobiia; Verrucomicrobiales; Rubritaleaceae.
AAUGAACGCUGGCGGCGUGGAUAAGACAUGCAAGUCGAACGGAGAUAAUCAUUAGUUUACUAAAGAUUGUCUUAGUGGCGGACGGGUUAGUAACACGUGAGCAACUUACCUCAAAGUGGGGGAUAGCCUUCCGAAAGGGAGAUUAAUACCGCAUGUGACCUACGGGUCAAAGAUGGCUUCGGCUAUCGCUUUGAGAUAGGCUCGCGUCCUAUCAGUUAGUUGGUGAGGUAAUGGCUCACCAAGACUACGACGGGUAGCUGUUCUGAGAGGAAGAUCAGCAACACUGGAACUGAGACACGGUCCAGACACCUACGGGUGGCAGCAGUCGAGAAUCAUUCACAAUGGACGCAAGUCUGAUGGUGCAACGCCGCGUGGAGGAUGAAGGCCCUAGGGUCGUAAACUCCUGUCAUAGCAGAGUAAGGCAUGUUAGUUAAUAGCUAGCAUGUUUGAUAGUAUGCUAAGAGGAAGGGACGGCUAACUUCG